Schistocerca gregaria is the source of this 461-nucleotide long non-coding RNA. RefSeq lists it as uncharacterized. Lineage: Eukaryota; Metazoa; Arthropoda; Insecta; Orthoptera; Acrididae. The record is from RefSeq and is a predicted model, not a curated record. The transcript has 2 exons.
CGCAGCUGGCGCGGCCUUGGAGGGGCUGCGGGGCGUCUCCGCCAGUGCACAAUACCGGCUCCACACACAACAGUGGAAAGGGCUUGGAAGGACCAAUGGAACUGACUGACCUCUGUGUCAUCCAUCCUCAGCCAACAGGCAUCACUGGAGGCAGAUAUUGACAGGCAGUGCACUGCUCUCCCGGCUGAUUGUUCAUGACCAGAGCUGCUACAUCAAUCAAGUAGCUCCUCAAUUGGCCUCACAGGGUCUGAGUGCACUCCACUUGUCAACAGCACUUGGACAGCCUGGAUGUCACUCAUUCAAGUGGUACCAAGUCCAACAGCGCGAUCUGAUGGGAACCGGUGUUACCAUUGUAUUGGCGAUUUAGUAUUACCAAUAGCAGUUUAUUCAUCCAAGGAUAAUUUUACAAUGAAAUGUUAUUUGUUAACUUAAUACAAGAAAAAACAUGUUAUACAUACUGA